GCUUAAGGCCACACCGCCUGGUAUACGCUUGAUCUCGGAAGAUAAGGUAGGUUGGGCCUGGUUAGUACUUGGAUGGGAGACCCCUGGGAAUACCAGGUGCUGUAAGCU
This 108-nucleotide ribosomal RNA is filed under the name Scophthalmus maximus (turbot). The record is from RNAcentral. Lineage: Eukaryota; Metazoa; Chordata; Actinopteri; Pleuronectiformes; Scophthalmidae.